AUACGUAGGGUGCGAGCGUUGUCCGGAAUUACUGGGCGUAAAGAGCUCGUAGGUGGUUUGUCGCGUCGUCUGUGAAAUUCCGGGGCUUAACUCCGGGCGUGCAGGCGAUACGGGCAUAACUUGAGUACUGUAGGGGAGACUGGAAUUCCUGGUGUAGCGGUGAAAUGCGCAGAUAUCAGGAGGAACACCGGUGGCGAAGGCGGGUCUCUGGGCAGUAACUGACGCUGAGGAGCGAAAGCAUGGGUAGCGAACAGGAUUAGAGACCCUGGUAGUCCAUGCCGUAAACGGUGGGCGCUAGGUGUAGGGGUCUUCCACGACUUCUGUGCCGUAGCUAACGCAUUAAGCGCCCCGCCUGGGGAGUACGGCCGCAAGGCUAAAACUCAAAUGAAUUGACGGGG
Molecule: ribosomal RNA, 398 nt
Filed under: uncultured bacterium
Lineage: Bacteria
Description: partial 16S ribosomal RNA
Rfam family: Bacterial small subunit ribosomal RNA
Source: RNAcentral